GAUGAACGCUAGCGGCAGGCUUAACACAUGCAAGUCGAGGGGCAGCAUAAACAUUGCUUGCAAUGUUUGAUGGCGACCGGCGCACGGGUGCGUAACGCGUAUGUAACCUACCUCAAACAGGGGCAUAACACUGAGAAAUUGGUACUAAUUCCCCAUAAUACUUCGGGAGGCAUCUUCUGAAGUUGAAAGUUCCGGCGGUUUGAGAUGGACAUGCGUUGUAUUAGCUAGUUGGUGGGGUAACGGCUCACCAAGGCGACGAUACAUAGGGGGACUGAGAGGUUAACCCCCCACAUUGGUACUGAGACACGGACCAAACUCCUACGGGAGGCAGCAGUGAGGAAUAUUGGUCAAUGGACGCAAGGUCUGAACCAGCCAUGCCGCGUGCAGGAUGACGGCUCUAUGAGUUGU
RNAcentral lists this ribosomal RNA (408 nucleotides) under uncultured bacterium. RNAcentral describes it as "bacterial SSU rRNA". It matches the Rfam family "Bacterial small subunit ribosomal RNA", at positions 28 to 426 of the family's 1533-position model. The record is from RNAcentral.